RNAcentral lists this unclassified non-coding RNA (189 nucleotides) under Glomus cubense. RNAcentral's name for it is "partial internal transcribed spacer region". The stretch from base 1 to 46 matches the Rfam family "Eukaryotic small subunit ribosomal RNA", at positions 1786 to 1831 of the family's 1831-position model. RNAcentral also lists the same sequence under 1 other name. The record is from RNAcentral. Lineage: Eukaryota; Fungi; Glomeromycota; Glomeromycetes; Glomerales; Glomeraceae.
AAGUCGUAACAAGGUUUCCGUAGGUGAACCUGCGGAAGGAUCAUUAUUGAUUUUUAAAGCAAACCGAGCUUUUUUUUAAAAGUAAGGUUUUGCGAAUAUAUUUAAAACCCCACUCUUUUAAAUAAAAUUUUUCAUUCAUAUAUUAUGAAAAUUAAAAGAUCACUUUCAACAACGGAUCUCUUGGCUCUC